CGGUACACAUGCUUUUAAAUAAGACCUCAUCUCUGAGUUAGAGUAAACUGUCAAGACUUAAAACUUACUUACUUUACCUUCACCAUGGGACUUGUAACCGUCACUUCUGUCUUGAGUGGUUAAAAGAUAGAACAGUCUAGCCAAGUGCCAUGUCUCUUAUUCUUGAUCAGCUAUAGCUCUUGGGUUUUUGCAGAUUUUCAAAUAAAACUCAGAGAUUCCUUGUAUGAUUCUCUCAGGUCUCUCUUUUGUGGUAUUUUUGGAUUCUUACCAAGGCAGUGAUGGUAUAUGCCUUCUCUCAAGAUAUGUGGUAUUUGUGGUAUGAGGCAUAGUGACAUUGCCUUCUCUCUCAUCCUACUCUAAUAAGGCUUUAAUAUCUAGAGCUCAUAGGUGGGAAAUAAAGUAUACAUACUUACAAGACAUUUAUUGCAUAGUCAAAUCAUGGAUCCAAAGUAACAAGUCAAUAAGUUUAAUCAAGAUGUGCAUGUGUGGUGAAUGAAUGGUGUAUGGUAAUGAUGGUGAUAACAAUGGUGAAAACAAUGGAGGUGGAAGUCUAAUUCUACUUUUGCUCUUUUGAGGGGUUACAUACCUUCCUUGCUUUUUGAAACUUUAUGAGGAGAAUGAGAUGCUCUAUAUUUUUUUCUUUUCUCUCAGGUGGUAUCUUGUACCCCUAAUUCUACUGUCGGACACUUGUCCAUUUUUACCUCUCGUCUCACUUUUCUUUUCUUUCGAGGUUCCGAGCACUUGCUCCUUUUUAUUUCCUCGUAUAUAUUUUUUUUUCAGAGCAUUCAUCUCUUGAGAUAAUAUAGCAAGUGGUAGUAACAAGAUAACUUGAGCAUUUAUUUCACAAGGGGAAAACAGAAAUAUUUUUGGUUAUUCUCUCCCGGAUUAGGAGUAGAAUAUUUUUGGGUAAUUUUGGAGAUGGAAUGGGUGAAUAUAUGUGGAUGGUACUUCCGGAGUAGAAGUAGCAUAUAUGAGUGAACGUGCAAGUGAAAUCUUGAUUUAACCACAUGACAAGCUCCUAAGGGUCAACACAGCUUGACCACACUCAAUGCUCAUAAGCAGUAAAUAAUAAAUGUGUGGCUCAAAGUCUAGCAAGCAUGCAUAUAUGGCUGUGGUAGGAAUUUAAACUCUCAUCAUACAGGAACUCAUCAUGCAACAUUUUAAAGAUUUUUAAAGAUAAAAUUCUCCAGAAUUCUAGCAUCUCUAGGAACAGAUAAACAGCAGCUCAACCUUCCCAUAUCAUAUCCGUUAACAACUUAGACUUCAGAUCAAGUUUUCAUCCCACAAGUUUAGGUCUAGAGCAAGCUUUAAAUUAUAACAGUUAUAUCUAAACUUGAGAGAGAACUUAAAAUUUGCAAAUUAGGCAAAGCAACUAUUUAUCAUAACCAUGCUUAAGUUUUAUUUGAUACAGAUUAGCAUAGCCACUUUAUUUAUUUAUUAAACACACUAAGCAAAAGACAUAUAUAUAUAUAAGCAUAAAAUCUUUAUUUGGUUUUUUCUAGUUUUUGUAUUUUAAUAUUCUAAUAUAGUAUAAGUAUAAAGAUAGAUAGAAAUACUUAUCGGGAUAAAUGGGGGUGCUCUCCCCCAAGCUGAAUUUUGACGUAAUUUCUCUUGAUGUAGCUAACAGGUGGCGGAGGUGUAUUUGAAAGUCGGCAGCAUUCUGACAGCGAUUAGAAUGUCCUCCGUUUGCUAGUCUUCUUGAUUCUUAAAUUCUGUGGAGCUCAAAUAGACAACAAAGCUUGUGGAACUGAUUAAGUGUUAGCAUAAAUAUCUAGCCUUUUUCAUGUUGAGACUCUUUAAUAAAUAUUACUCCCUGUUUUUAUAUUUUUGUUUUUAUAAAGCAGAAAAAUAUUUAUUUUAUUUUUAUGCCACCACAGUGAAUGUACUUAUGGGUUUUAUGCCACUCGUCUACUCACAUGGGGCUUACUGUUUUUCAUAUUUUUAUUUUCUUUUUAAGAUAGUAUGAACUUAAUUAACUAAGUAACUAUUUGAAAUAAUUGAAAGAGAAAGGAUAACUAUCAAGUUUACCUCUUGGCAAGGCGUUCGGUGUUUUUAAGUCCUCCGAACGGGACUCUCCAUUUUCUCAAUUGUCCUGAGGUUCGUUGGGUGGCGUAGUCGGUGCUUCCGGCAGCGCCUCCUCUUCUUGUGUAGUUAUCUUCAUUUUCCAUACCUGGGUGCUUUAAUCUCCUCUGGAUAAUUCUGUUUAAACUCUACGUCUUCUGACCUUAUAACUUCUCCUUCAUAGUCUGCCCAUCCGUCCUUGAUAAUCUGCCUCCUCUGGUUGCGGUUGCGUCGCUUUCUUACCUACUUAGAUUCUUCAACGAUAUAGUUAGGGUCAGUAAAAUAACGGCGUACCUUCUCUGAGGGGAAGUACAUAUGGACUUCUCCGGUUCCAAUGUAGAUAAUUGCUUUAACGGUGCUGAGGAACGGUCUUCCAAGGAUGAUGGGUGGAUCAUACUCGUCUUCUCCCAUGUCAAUAACUUGAAAGUCUGUGUAGACAAAUUGAUCGUCUAUUUUGACUGGGACAUCAGAUACUAUUCCUUUGACUUCUCGAAAUGUCUGAUCUGCCAUCUGAAGCUAAAUGUAUGUUGGUCUCAGUGGCGUGGUUCCGAACAAGAGCCGAUAGGUGACUGCGGCCAUUAUGUUGACGCCCGAUCCGGUGUCGCAAAUCGUCUUGUAGAAGUUGUAUCCAUUUAUGGAGCAGUAAAUUCUUGGCAUUCCUGGGUCGUCCUUCUUAGUCAAAAGCGGUGACUUAAGUUGGUGAUCUUGGCCUCCAUGGACUACAGUGACCAUCUUAGCUGACUCGGUCCACACUUGCUUGUUUCUGUUUCUCCUGUUGGUCCUCUUCCUUGAUUUACCUCUGGAUUGAUCUUGAAUUUGUGUAGUCUUGUUCUUGAAGAAAAAUGUCUCCUUCUUCCCUUUGACGUAGAAACUGAUCUUGGCAGCACUGGCGUAGAUGAUAGCUCCCGUGGUGUUCAAAAAUGGCCUCCCUAGGAUGAUAGGUGCUCUCUCAUCAUUUCCGGUCUCUACCACUACGAAGUCUGCUGGGGCAUAUAAGGUACCAACUCGGACACAAAGGUUCUUCACUAUUCCUUUUGGAAAAGUUAUCGUCUGAUCUGCAAACUGCAAACACAUGGUUGUUUCUAAUAAAGGAUAUGUAAAGAAUUUUUCAUAGAGUACCCUGGGUAUAAUGUUGACACUAGAGCCAAAGUCGCAGAGUGCUUCUGGAACGUCCACCAUGCCGAUGGAGAUCGGGAUGACGGGGCGUCCUGGAUCGCCUCUCUUGACCGGCAGAAGGUCAGUAGAGAAUUCAUUGACGGGGUUACUCCAAUUACCUGCAUCAAACAUGUCUACAAGAUUUGCAGAUUCUAAUCCUUCCGGUUGUGAUGGUAUACCGGGGUUAGUAGUAGGAACAGCAGCAGCUAUUUGAUUUAACUGAGAUUCAAUCAUUUUAUUAAAGCUAAUUUGAUUCUUGAUGGCAGUAGAAAAAUUAUCCAUUCUAUUAUUUAUAUUUUCUAGCAUUUUAUCAUUAGAUGCCAAUUUCUUGGAUAGGUUAUCCAUUAGCUUUCCUUGAUUAGACACUAACUCCCUCAAAGGUGGGAAAUUAUUAUUAUUGUUGUAAGAAUUGUUACCUUGAUAAUUACCUGAGUAGUUAGGCCUCUGUUGAUUCCAACCUUGAUUUUGUUGAGGACGGUUGUAGUAGUAGUAGUAGUUGUUGUUGAUGUAGUUCACAUCCUCAAGUAUCUCAGGGCAGUGGUUGCCUGAGUGUCCAGUGUCUCCACACUCCUCACAAGUCAUGUGAGAGUCGUAGAUGUGCAUAACUUCUUUAUUGUCUCCAGCUCUAUCGUCGAGCUUCUUCAUGAGCAGGUCUAGCUUUGCAGAAAGCAUGUCUACCUCCUUUAGCUGAUGUAUACCUCCACCUCUCUUGCGUGUCUGGGUCCUCUCUUCAUUCCAGCUUUGGUUGGACGCCAUCUUCUCCACAAGAGCUGUGGCUUGUGGUAUAGUAAGUGAUAAGAAUGCUCCUCCAGCUGCAGCAUCCAUGGUCUCUCGGGCACUGUUGCUGAGCCCAUGAUAGAACGUCUGCAUCAGUAGCCAACUCUCCAUUCCAUGAUGGGGACAUUCUAGGAUGUAGUCUUGAAAGCGCUCCCAUGCUUCUGGAAAAGAUUCAUCAUUUUGUUGCUGAAAACUUGUAAUCUUCCCACGGAGAGCAUUGGUCUUGCCCAUGGGAAAGAACUUAGCCAGGAAGUUUGUUGAGCAGAGUGCCCACGUAGUAUUCUUCUCCUUUGUAGCGUAGAACCACUGCUUCGCUCUUCCUAACAGUGAGAAUGGGAAGAGGCGAAGUAGUAUAGCGUCUUUGGAAACUCCUGCUAUGGUGAAUGUGUUGCAAAUCUCCAGGAAGUGUUGUAAAUGAGCACUAGCAUCUUCGUGUGCCUUCCCACAGAACUGGUUGGAUUGCACCAUGUUGAUAAGUCUAGGCUUGAGCUCAAAGUUUCCAUCGAUCUCUGCAACAGGUCCAGUGCGGAUGUUGUCCGUAGUGGGAGCUGAGAACUCGCGGAUUGAUUUGUUCGCCAUGGCCUCGAACUCUGAAGACAAGUUCCGGUGAUCUUCUUGAUUGGAUGAAGCUUCUUGCUGAAGUGUUGAUGAUCUCUUCUUUAGCUUGGCUCUCGUCUUCUUGAAUAAUGCUUCAGGAUUGUCAACAAAAUUUCCUGGAAGAUGUCUUCAAUUCAUACAUUCCCCUGCAUAAGAUAAAAUAGAAAAAUAUCGGGGUAAAACUGUAUGAGAGAAUAGAUAAGCUCAAUCAUAUUAGUGAUGCGAAUGAUAACUCAAAAUCUUUUAUUCCAUUCCUGAUUAGUAAUCAACCUUCCCCGGCAACGGCGCCAAAAAUGCUUGUUGGGUAUUCUUAACAUCAUUACCAAAAGUAGACUAAGUUCUCUAAAUCUAGAAACGGUGCCAAAAAUGCCAAACCUAUCCCUCACACCACUUAAGCCAAGUUGUCAUCCCCAGCAUGACAUAAGAGAUGCGGUAUUGAAAUAUGCAAUUGCACUUCUAGAUAAAUAAUGAAUUGGAUCUGCAAGCGCACAGAUUAAUACCGAUGUAGCAUUUUAACCGGGAAGUAUUCCAGGUAUUGUUAUUUAUAUUUUUACCACUGGGAAGGGAUUAGAAAUCAUCACUAAUGAUUACAGAAUAGAAUAUGAGAUUGAGCAUCUAUCAUUGCAUGUAUAAUUGAGAACAUUAUAUCUAACUUCUCAUACAGGGAUAAGUGUCACAUAAAAGAUAUAUGAAAUAAUAAUAGUGACAAGGAUAACUAAUCUGAUCUAGCCACAUAAUAAAUAUGAUAAGCACCUCAAUUAGAUAGUCUAGAAAGUCGUUAGCAUGGUAUUAGAACGAACUACAAGAAUAUUCCCUAAGUUAUUCUCAACUAUAUAGUCUAGCAUAUCAUAGUUAGUGCAAGCAUACUUAGCAAUCAUUGUGAGACAAGACUACGCCCAUGCAUAGUGAUAUUAGCAAGGAAUAUGAGAAACAUAGCAAUCACUCCCCUGUAAUAAUGUUGCUCUGCCAGCCCAAUACACGAGAGGGGGACUAUAUAAGAAUCAAUGAAGCUGUCACUAUCACGAACCACCCCACGAUCUGGCAUAUUGGGUACAAUCGUAGAUAAAUACGGUAUAAGCACCACGCCUACACAAUAUCUAUCAUUUACCCAUGGAUCCGAUGGAUAAACACUAUACGAUCCUAAGCAUGUAUAUAGAUCCAAUCUAACUAAGCCAAGUACAUAACUAUGAUAAACUAAGAACAAUAUAAUCUUGAAUAUAAGCAAGUAGAGCAAAGUCAUAAGCAAUAUAUUGAAGUAGAACAAAGUCAUAUUCAUAAUAUUGAAGAACAAAGAUAAUUAGAAGAAUAAUUAGAAGCACAAUUAGAGAAUUACCGAGAAUCCUCCUGCAAUAAAAUGAACAAGAACAAGAAAAUUGCUAAUGUACCUUACAUUCCUUUUGAUUCUUGUUAUGUGCUUACCAAGGGUGAGAAGGGUGUGCAUGCUAAGUUUGUUGGUACACCAAUUGUGGGUCCAAAGAAGAAGGCCAUUUGGGUACCAAAAAGCUUAGUCACUAACCUCCAAGGACCCAAACAAGUAUGGGUACCUAAGAAACAUUGAUUUGUUUUGUAGGUAAACUAUAAAGCCGGAGGAAGGCAUUGGGUGCUUGAUAGUGGGUGCACACAACACAUGACCGGAGAUUCAAGAAUGUUCAAUUCAAUCAAUCCAAAUGAUGACAAGGAGCAUGUGAGGCUAUGCUACAAGUGUAAAAGCCCCGAUCAUAUUGUGGCGGAUUGUCCUUACAAUAGUGACAAUGAUGAGCAUGACAAGAAGAACAAGAAGGAGAAGAAAGAAAAGAAGAAGAAGAUGGUCUUCAAAAAGAAGAAGAAGGGUGGAUCCUAUGUUGUGACAUGGGAUAGUGAUGCCUCUUCGGAUGAUGAUUCAAGUGAUGAUGACAAGGCAUCCAAGAAGAAGGCACUUGCAAGCAUUGCUAUCAACAAGCCAUCACUCUUCGACACUCCUUCAUGCUUCAUGGCCAAAGGCCACAAGGUACAAUAUGAUGAAAGUGAAAAUGAACAUGAUAGUGAUAGUGAUGAUGAAAAUGAAUUCACAAAUGAACAACUCAUGGACAUGCUAGAACAAGCCGAUUCUCUCAUUCAAUCUAAAAACAAGAAGUGCAAAGAAUUGGUCAAGAAGUUAAAAGCUCUUGAGCAAUCCUUUGAUGAGCUCAAUGCUAAUCAUGAGAGGCUAGUGGAAGCCCAUGAGAAGCUUGGCAAGGCUCACACCAAGCUUGAGAAAGCUCACUCCUUGUUAUUAGAAGAGAACAAGGAAAAUGUUGUUGUAUCAUGUGAUGUGGGCACAACAUGUGACUUAAUUAAAGAAUCACCCAACCCACCUAUUGUUAUUGCCACUAACUCUUCAUGUAGGUCUUCAUCCACCACCUCCAACUCUACCUUUAUUUCUAGUGUUAGUGUCACUUGUGAUACCUCACUAAAGGUUGAGAAUGAGACUCUCAAGAGAGAAGUGGAUGAGCUCACUCACGCCCUAGGCAAGGCCUAUGGUGGUGAGGCCCGCUUGCUAAAGUGCUUGGGUAGCCAAAGGUUUUCUCUCAAUAAAGAGGGAUUAGGCUAUACCCCCAAGAAGGGCAAGAAAGCCUUUGUAACUCACAAGCCUAGCUUUGUGAAGAGCAAUGGUCGGUAUUACAACAAAUGCAAGCAAGUUGGGCACCUAGAGCUUAAUUGCAAUAAAAUGAACAAGAACAAGAAAAUUGCUAAUGUACCUUACAUUCCUUUUGAUUCUUGUUAUGUGCUUACCAAGGGUGAGAAGGGUGUGCAUGCUAAGUUUGUUGGUACACCAAUUGUGGGUCCAAAGAAGAAGGCCAUUUGGAUACCAAAAAGCUUAGUCACUAACCUCCAAGGACCCAAACAAGUAUGGGUACCUAAGAAACAUUGAUUUGUUUUGUAGGUAAACUAUAAAGCCGGAGGAAGGCAUUGGGUGCUUGAUAGUGGGUGCACACAACACAUGACCGGAGAUUCAAGAAUGUUCAAUUCAAUCAAUCCAAAUGAUGACAAUGGUGUUGAUAGUAUCACAUUUGGUGACAAUGGCAAAGGCAAGGUCAAAGGGCUUGGUAAAAUUGCUAUAUCCAAUAACUUGAGCAUUUCCAAUGUGCUACUAGUAGAGAGCUUGAACUUCAACUUGCUAUCCGUAGCUCAACUUUGUGAUCUUGGUUUCAAAUGCAUAUUUGGAGUUGAUGAUGUAGAGAUCAUAAGUGUAGAUGGCUCUAACUUGAUAUUCAAAGGAUUUAGAUAUGAGAAUCUAUACUUGGUUGAUUUCAAUGCUAGAAAAGCUCAAUUGUCAACAUGCUUGCUCACUAAAUCUAGCAUGGGUUGGUUAUGGCAUAGAAGGCUUGGUCAUGUUGGAAUGAAACAAUUAAACAAGUUAGUCAAGCAUGAUCUUGUUAGAGGCUUGAAAGAUGUCACAUUUGAGAAAGACAAGCUUUGUAGUGCAUGUCAAGCCGGAAAAUAAGUUGGCAACACUCAUCCAAAGAAGAGCAUCAUGAGUACAUGCAAGGCAUUUGAGUUGUUGCACAUGGAUCUAUUUGGACCAACCACAUACACAAGCAUUGGUGGAAAUAAAUAUGGAUUUGUGAUAGUGGAUGAUUUCACAAGAUAUACAUGGGUAUUCUUUCUUAGUGACAAGAGUGAUGCUUUUGCAACUUUCAAAUCAUUUGUCAAGAGAAUACACAAUGAAUUUGAAACAACCAUCAAGAAAGUGAGAAGUGACAAUGGAAGUGAAUUCAAGAAUACAAGAGUUGAUGAGCUUUGUGAUGAAUUUGGCAUUAGGCAUCAAUUCUCAGCCAAGUACACUCCACAAUCAAAUGGUCUUGUUGAGAGGAAGAAUAGAACCUUGAUUGACAUGGCAAGAUCAAUGUUGAGUGAGUACAAUGUGAGUCAUUCUUUUUGGGCCGAAGCAAUCAACACGGCUUGCUACUAUAGCAACCGACUCUAUUGUCACCCAAUGAUGGAGAAGACUCCAUAUGAGCUCUUGAAUGGAAGAAAGCCAAACAUUGCAUAUUUUCGGGUUUUUGGUUGCAAAUGCUACAUAUUGAAGAAAGGCACUAGAUUGAGUAAAUUUGAAAAGAAAUGUGAUGAAGGUUUCUUGCUUGGUUACUCUACUACUAGCAAGGCUUAUAGAGUGUGGAAUUUGGCUAGUGGUACUCUUGAAGAAGUGCAUGAUGUUGAAUUUGAUGAAACCAAUGUCUCUCAAGAGGAAGAUGAGAAUCUAGAUGAUGUGAGAGGCACUCAAUUGGCCGAUGCAAUGAAGAACAUGGAUAUUGGUGAUUUAAGGCCUAGAGAGGUGAUUGAUGUUGAAGCUGACAAAGAUCAAGUGCUUCCUACCUCUAAUGUGCAAGCUAGUGGUUCUCAUGAUCAAACUCAAGCUAGUACAAGUGGUACACAAGUGCAUGAUCAACAAGCUAGUACAUCAUCUCAUGAUCAAUCAAGUGCAAGCAAUCAAGUGCAAAUACUCCAACCAACAAAUAUUGCAAGAGAUCAUCCAUUGGAUCAUAUCAUUGGUGACAUUCAAAAAGGAGUGCAAACUAGAUCAAGAUUAGCAUCAUUUUGUGAGCAUUUCUCCUUUGUGUCUCACAUUGAGCCAAAGAAGAUUGAUGAAGCAUUGAGAGAUGUUGAUUGGGUCAAUGCUAUGCAUGAAGAGCUUAACAAUUUCAAGAGAAAUCAAGUAUGGGAAUUAGUUGAGAGGCCUAGUGAUCACAAUGUCAUUGGUACUAGAUGGGUUUUUCGCAACAAGGAAGAUCAAGAUGGGAUAGUUGUAAGGAACAAAACAAGAUUGGUAGCACAAGGCUAUACUCAAGUUGAAGGUCUUGACUUUGGUGAAACAUAUGCCCCGGUUGCAAGAUUGGAAGCAAUUAGGAUCUUGUUGGCCUAUGCUUGUGCACAUAAUAUCAAGCUAUAUCCAAUGGAUGUGAAAAGUGCAUUUCUUAAUGGCUAUAUCAAUGAGGAAGUAUAUGUUGAGCAACCUCCCGGUUUUGAAGAUGAUAAGAAACCCAACCAUAUUUACAAGCUAAGAAAGGCAUUGUACGGCUUGAAACAAGCACCAAGAGCAUGGUAUGAGAGAUUGAGAGAUUUCUUACUCUCUAAAGGUUUCAAGAUGGGCAAGGUUGACACCACUCUCUUCACCAAGAAGAUUGGCAAGGAAUUGUUUGUGUUGCAAAUCUAUGUUGAUGAUAUCAUAUUUGGAUCAACCAAUCAAGAAUUUUGUGAGUAGUUUGGAAACAUGAUGGCUAAUGAGUUUGAGAUGUCAAUGAUUGGAGAGCUUAGUUACUUCCUUGGUCUCCAAAUCAAGCAAUUGAAGAAUGGCACAUUUGUGAGUCAAAGCAAGUACAUAAAAGACAUGCUCAAGAAGUUUGGUAUGGAUGAUGCAAAAUCAAUUAGCACACCAAUGGGAACAAAUGGAAGCCUAGAUAGUGAUACAAGUGGAAAUAUGGUAGAUCAAAAGUUAUAUCGGUCUAUGAUUGGAAGCCUACUCUAUGUGACCGCAUCAAGACCGGAUGUCAUGUUUAGUGUAUGCAUGUGUGCAAGAUUUCAAGCCUCACCAAGAGAAAGUCAUUUGAAAGCAACAAAGAGAAUAUUGAGGUACUUGAAGCAUACACAAAAUGUUGGUUUGUGGUAUCCCAAAGGUGCAAAGUUUGAACUUGUUGGAUAUUCCGAUUCGGACUAUGCGGGAUGCAAAGUUGAGAGAAGAAGCACAUCGGGCACAUGUCAACUAUUGGGAAGAUCACUUGUCUCAUGGUCAUCCAAGAAGCAAAAUAGUGUUGCACUAUCAACCGCCGAAGCGGAGUACAUUGCGGCCGGUAGUUGUUGUGCACAAAUCCUAUGGAUGAAGGCAACUUUGAAGGACUUUGGAAUCAAUUUCAAACAAGUGCCCUUGCUAUGUGACAAUGAAAGUGCCGUGAAGCUCACCAACAAUCCGGUUCAACACUCAAGAACAAAGCAUAUAGAUGUCCGCCAUCAUUUCAUAAGAGAUCACCAACAAAAAGGGGACAUUUGCAUUGAGAGUAUAGGCACCGAUGAUCAACUUGCCGAUAUAUUCACCAAGCCACUUGAUGAGAAGAGGUUUUGCAAGCUAAGGAAUGAAUUGAACAUACUGGACUUCUCAAAUAUGUGUUGAUGCACCCCCAUUAUAUGACAUGCCUCUCCUUCGAGCAAAGCAAGGUAAAAUUGUUUGACAUGUCAUCCAUCCUAUGCCAAGGAUUUGCUUAGUGCAUCUAGUCAUUCUUUACAUGUCUUAGGCUCAUUCAUGAAAAUCAAAUGAAUUUGAUGCUUGUAUGGUACCACUAUUGCUUUUAUGCUUGACUUGAUCUAGUGGUAGCAUAUGACAUGUUUGUGGGCUUGCAAUCCUAGUGUUUGAUCUAGAAUAUGAGCUAUAAGUGUUUAACUCAACAUGGUACAAGAUAACCCUUAUUUGGAGGUGUGAAGAAGCUUGUCCUUGGAUCAAACCGAGUUAAAUAUCUUAGGCAAGUAAUCUAGAUUGGACCAAUUUGGUAAAAUGAUCUCACUUCACAUGGUUUCACACUAACCUAUCUAAAAUUUGACCUCACCUUUUGUGGUCAUUGAUGACAAAGGGGGAGAGAAAUUACAAAGAUAGAGAAGUAACAUGAUAAAAGAAGGGGAUCAAUUAAAAAUUUGAAGCACACAAGUAGGGGGGGCAAGCUCAUAAACUUAUAUGUUGCAUUUGAAUGUGCAUCCUAUAUGUUUUGUUGCAUUUGCAUUAGCUUUAGAAGCUGUCUCUGUUGCCUUGCUUGUGUGUUGUAUGCUAGUUGUAGGCUUGAUUGAUGAAAUGAAGAACUAGCAUGCAUAGGUAGUGUAACUAGCCUUUUAGUUGUUUCACAAACUAGACUCUUAGUUGUUUCACAANNNNNNNNNNNNNNNNNNNNNNNNNNNNNNNNNNNNNNNNNNNNNNNNNNNNNNNNNNNNNNNNNNNNNNNNNNNNNNNNNNNNNNNNNNNNNNNNNNNNUAUAAUGUUGAUCUCACGGGGUGUUCUAGUUUGUGAAUGUCUAGUUACUAAUGGUGCUAAGGAUGGUAUAUAUUGGCAACUCUGAUUGGUAUCACGCUUCAAAGGUCCAUUCUUUACACCUUAGCAUCAUUUGGUAGAAAUUGACUCCUAUAUUUCCUAUUCAAGCAUAUGUGCAAGCUUUCAAAUCCAAACUCUUAGCACAUAUGUAGGGGGAGCAAUUGCUACUAAUUUGGGUUUAUGAAACUUGUCCAUAAUAUUUGCACAUGGUAAAAUGCUUGGACAAGCAACAUGAAUCCAAGAAAAUUUUAUUGAAAAUCUUUGUAAAAAGGGUUGUCAUCAAUUACCAAAAAGGGGGAGAUUGAAAGCCCUAGUUUGGUUUUGGAUAAUUGAUGAAACCCUAGUACUAACCUCUAUGCUAAGUGUGUGUAGACCUAACGAGGUUGGUACAUGCCAAGUGUUGGAGCAAGAGAUGAUCAUGGUGAUGACCACAAGGUGAUCAAGUGCUCAACUUGGAAAACAAGAAAGAGAAAAACAAAACCCUAUGGAGAUCAAGGCAAAGGUAUUGCUUAGGGUUUUGGUUUUAGUGAUCAAGACACCAUAGAGGGUGUGAUCACAUUUAGGAUAGAUAGCCGUACUAUAAAGAGGGGAAUUCUUUGGCUAAGCGGUUAUCAAGUGCCACUAGGUGUCAUUGUUCAUGUGCAUGCAUUUAGAACCUAGUGAGCUAACUUAACUCCUUCAAAGAAAAUGUUUGUGAAAAUGCUAACACACGUGCACUUGUUGGUACACACGUUGUGGUGUUGGCACACUUUGAGAAGGAGGUGGAGUUUGAUUCGGCGCUUUUCGAGAAAAUGAAGUGCAUAUUUUCUAUUGCGCCGGAGGGAAAUUUUGGAGAAGUCGCGGGAGUGUUUCUCGCUGAGGAACACUCACCGGACGCUGGCUCAGAGGCACCGGAACGCUGUGUCUGAGCGUCCGGUGUGCAGACAGUGCCUGGCCCAGUUAGGGUAAGGCACCGGAUGAUAGGCACCGGACGCUGGGUUGAGCGUCCGGUGGUGCGCGUCCAGUGUGCGGGCGUUUUGCGACCCUCUCUGCGCAUGGGUCCGGUGAGCACCGGACGCUAAGGGUGCGUCCGGUGGCUUGCGUCUGGUGACCCUGCGAGUUUGCGGAGCUCUCUGCGCAUGAGUCCGGUGUGCACCGGACGCGUCCGGUGCCAACCUGCUCAGCGUCCGGUGCUCUGCAGGUUACCGUUAGACUCUGACACACGGCUGACGUUGGAGCACCGGACGCUGAGUCUGAGCGUCCGGUGCCCCUUUAAGUGCGUCUGGUGACCCCGCGGUUUGCCCAGUGAAAGAGCCAACGGCUCUAUUUGUUUGAGGGGCUAUAAAUAUGUGUUUGGCUGGCUUAGGGUAGACACCUUUGGCAUUCUAACGUACUUGACAUCCUUGUGAGCCUAAGCAAACACCUCCCACUCAUCUCCUUCUUAGAUUAUACAUCUUUGUGAGAUUGGGAGUGAUUCCAAGUGCAUUUGCUUGAGUGAUUGCAUCUAGUGGCACUUGGGGAUCGUUCUAGCUGCGGUUUUCUUGUUACUCUUGGUGGUUGCCGCCACCUAGAUGGCUUGGAGCAGCGGAGGAGGUUUGGCACGAGUUGGUGAUUGUUCGUGGCCAUCUCCCGGUGAUUGUGAGAGGUUUGUGCCUACCUCGGCGGAGUGCCAAAGGCAACAUUAGUGGAUUGCUGGUGUCAUUGAGUUACCUCACUUGUGGGUAGGUUCUUGUGGUGUCCUAGUGAGGACGAGGUUCAUGCUACACCUCUUAGCCACCGAACCACCAAGUGUUGGUCGACACAACGGGGACGUAGCGUGCCGGCAAGCACGUGAACCUCGGGAGAAAAAUCGGUGUCUCAAUUGUGUUUGAUUGGCUUUCUCCCGGUGCUUGAUUGUUUAUAUUGGUGAUUGGUUCAUCCCCUACACGGCGGUAUAAAUAUCUCAUCCUAUCCUUACUUACCGCAAACUAGUGUAAUUAGUUUAGUUGCUUUCUUUGCCUUGUGUAGCUUAGUUCUUGUGUGGUUAGUGUUCUUAGCAACUAGAAUUGUUGGAUAGGUGGCUUGCAAACACCCCAUUAGAGCUAGAGCAAAAAACUUCGCUUUGUUAUUUACUAACCUCUUGCUCUAGUAAGUUUGUAGAUUCUUUAAAUAGGCUAUUCACCCCCCCUCUAGCCAUAUUAGGACCUUUCACUAUACUAAUCUAGAUAUCUAAUUGAUGUGGUGGCUCUAAUCUUGAUCAGAGGCUUCUUCUCCCUUGAUGGAACAAUGAAUUAGGGUUGAGAGGCUCUCUCCUCCAGGGGCCAGGGGGUCUGGUUUUAUAGUCCCUUCAAGUGAAUAUGAGCCCUUGGAUCAAACCAACAUAGAUUGUAUGGUUUAGAUUCAUCCUUUAGGUCGGUAGAGAUCUCCCGCAAAGCAGAGUCCUGAUUGGACUCCUGGAGGGGGCGGGCGCCCUGCCUCUGGCCCCGUUUCGCCUCCGCUUCGGUCUCGUGGCUUCUGGAGUCUUCUAGAUGUAAGAUAAUUGCGCAGCACGUUAAUAUCUUUAUGUAAUCCCGACAUGUGGGCCUUUCUUCCAUAUUUCCUGAUAACCCCCUGCAGAAAUAGACAAACACCAAAACUCGUGGAAUUCUGUCAGAUAAAACCCUAAGUCUAGAUGUUGAUUUCAUUUGGAUCCUUUUCUUUAUUUAUUUGAUAAUUAAAUUUGAUACUUAAGGACCGUCAACAGCAGCCAAAGUCCGUUUAAUCCCUCCAAAAGCAGCCCCGAAGAACGCUCUCAAUGCUUUCAAGAUACCUCCUAAGCGUCGCAAGACUAUAGUAGAUAUUGAUGAGGACGUUCGCAGGCUAGACAGAGUCAUCAUAGACCUCCGGUCCUCGGUUAACUCCAUCACUAGGCAGCUCUCUAACCACAACACCGUUAUAUUAGGCCUUAGGCAUGACCUUGCUAAUGCCAAUAAGAAGAUCAGGGAGUUAGAGCGCAGCUAGGUUAUCUAGAUUAGAUCUUGAGGCAACACAUCUUAGUUAUUUAUCUUUAUCUUUAAAUUCGGUUUAGAUCUAUUAUUAGCUUCAGUUCAUUACUAGUUAUUUGUAAUAAAUGCCUCAAGAUUAAUAAAGAGUAUUAUUAUUAUUAUGUCUUGUGUGUCUCUACUUUAUUUUUGUGCAAGAAAGCAGAAAACAAGUACGGGGGAGAUCCCUCGACAUGCCAAACACACUUCGACUACACCACUCCACGAUUCAGGUACAUACUCUGCACACUUCACUUUACACAUACAUAUAUUUUGGAUUAUGCAGAAUAUUGUCUCCGACAUGAUAAAUUAAAAAGAUUAAAAUGUUUCUAAUCAUGAUUAAUCUCACUCUGUGAUAUUUCCGGAAAACAUACAAUUAUUGAAAAUCAUUUUAAAACCCUGUGUUACUUAAGUCAUUGUGGAAUUUGAGAUUGUAGAGUAUAAGUACCUUAUUCUUGAUAUCAUUGUUGCUUGGAGAAUUUAUUUCAGAAUCUUAAAAAAAUUCUAGCUACCAUCCUCAGUGUUUUAUAUGCCCGAUAAACAUGAUAAUUAUAAAAGCUAUUUGCUCUGUAUUGAGUUUGUUCAAAAUGAGUUAGACCCUUGUUGAGAGAUUUAUCAUGCUCCUAAGAUCAAGACAUUUAUUCAGAAAGAUUCACUCUAUCGAAGUAUUAUUGCAUUAGAGGCAUAGGCUAUGCAAAAAUAAAGAUAUUUCGAGGAAAUAAAAAGGAGCAAGUGCUCGAUAACCUCGCAGAAAGAAAAAAUGGACAAGUGUCCGGCAGUAGAAUUAGGGGUACCUUGGUAUCCACUUAAAAAAAAGAGAGAAAGAAGAAAAUGAUAGCCCAUGGUCCCUCUAAUAAGCAAUAUGCCAGUAAGAUUUGACAAGUUUUUAAUUUCCAAAGUCUUUGAUCUAAGAGUAUGGCAUUCGUCUCCUCGGAUCCUGUUUUGAUCAGGCUAGAAAUGCAAGGUAAGUAUGUUUUAGAAUUUUUGCAAAUUAAAACAGCCUCAAUGAGAUAUAAAAGAUAAUGAGUGACCUGAGAGAACCUAUGAGAAUAAAGGUAUGCUAAAGUUCUUUUCAAAAAAAUAUACAAAAACUCCAAGUAACAGGAUUGAGAAGAAAGGACCUCUACUCUUAACCAUAUAUUUCCCUGACUACAGUACACAGUGGAUUUUUACACCCUGUAGGUAUGAAGAGAAUGUUGUACAAUGUUUUACCCUAGAUAUUUUUCUUAACCAACCUUUUCUCGAGGACGAGUAAAAGCCUAAGUAUGGGGGUAUUUGUUGACGGUUCUUAAGUAUCAAUUUUAAUUAUCAAAUAAACAAGAGAAAGGACCACUAUGCAAACAACACCUAGAAUUAGGGUUUGAUCUGACAGAAUUCUACGAGUUUUGUUGUUUAUCUAUUUCUGCAGGGGGUUAUCAGGAAAUAAGGAAGAAAGGCCCACAUGUCGGGAUUACAUAAAGAUAUUAACGCACCGUGCAAUUUUCUACCAUCUAGAAGACUCCAGAAGCCACGGGAACGAACGGGAAGGCGAUCGGGCCCGGGGGCAGGGCGCCCGCCCUCCCCCAUUGGGCGCCCGCCCUGACCUAGAGUCCAAUUAGGACUCUCUUCGGGGAUUACGCUCCACCGACCUAAAUGAUCAAGGAUAACCGUUCAAUCAAUGUCGGUUUGAUCCGACGGCUCACGUUCACCUGAGGGGACUAUAAAACCAGACCCCCUGGCCCCUGGACGAGACAAGUUCAUCAUAGAGUUGAGAGGUGCCCUCGAAGGAUAAUCUCUCCUCUAAAUAGACUUUUUUUGGCUUAGCAUCCAAUGUGAGUAGAAUUAGAUCUUCUAGUUUCUACUAGAUUGAGAGAGAUAGAGUGGAGGUGUAGAUCGAAGGAAGCCCGACCUGUCGGCGUCUACUCUGAGGUUGUACCUGCAGGAUCAAGUCUUUUAACCCGAGGCUUGCUCCUAGGAUUAGUAUUUCGACUUCUAAAUUCUAGUAUGUUCUUGCUUUAUUGUUCUUUGGUUUAUGAGUUUACUUUAAUCUCUUCGCGUAGAGUUUAGAGUAAUCAUCUCUAGCGUAGACGUGGUGUUUGGGCUACAAUACUCAUAGAUAUCCCCUCACUAGCUGGACCGUGGUAGUAGCGAGGAACGUGACAUUUCCGAGUAACCUUUGCAGACCAUAUCCCGUUAGUAGGAUCGAUAGGGUUAUAGGUGCGGGUCGAACAUCCUCUAUGGUGUCUAGAUUCCGUAAGCUUCUUGUUGAUAUUAGGUAACGCAAUAAGGAAAUGAUCCGCAAGCGCACGGAUAUUAGUGAGCAUUUCACUCGGGAGGUUAUUCAGAGUAUCGUAUUUAUAUUUUUACCACUGGGAGAAAGGGUGCAUCUGACUAACCAAAUCUAUUUCUACUGUGAGUGAUGUAUAGAGAAGACUGCAACCGUAGUCUCAUUCUAACAUUGGUAAGGAUGAUCUACUGUUCUAAUGGGGAGGCUCCCGGAAUCUAGACACCACAAAGGAUGUUCGACCUGCACCUAUAAACCCUACCCGUCCUGCUAACAAGAUAUGGGAUACAAAGGUAACACGGAAAUGUCAUGUUCCUCGCUACUACCACGGUCCAGCUAGUCAGGGGAUAUCUAUGAGUACCCUAGCCUAAACACCACGUUUACGCUAGCAAUGAUUACUCUAAUACUCAACCGGAAGAGAUUAAAGUAAACUCAUAAACCAAAGAACAAUAAAGCAAGAACUUACUAGAAUUAGAAGUCGAAUUACUGAAGAAUCCUAGAAGCAAGCCUCGGGUUAGAAGACUUGAUCCCGUAGGUACAACCUCGGAGUAGACACCGACAGGUCAGGCUUCCUCCGAUCUACACCUCCACUCUAUCUCUCCCAAUCUAGUAGAAACUAGAAGAUCUAAUUCUACUCACAUUGGAUGCUAAGCCUAAAAGAAAUGUUAUGUAGAGGAGAGGUAUUCCUUCGAGGGCUCCUCUCAACUCUAUGAAAAACUUGUCUCCUCCAGGGGCCAGGGGGUCUGGUUUUAUAGUCCCGUCAAGUGAACGUGAGCCAUUGGAUCAAACUGACAUUGAUUGGACGGUUAUCCUUGAUCCUUUAGGUCAGUGGAGAGUAAUCCCCGAAGAGAGUCCUGUUUGGACUCCAAGUCAGGUCGGGCGCCCAGGUCAACUGGGCGGGCCCAGUGCCUGGCCCCGUUCGGCCUCCGCUUCCUUCCCGUGGCUUCUGGAGUCUUCUAGAUGUAAGAUAAUUGCGCGGCACGUUAAUAUCUCUAUGUAAACCUGAUGUGUGGGCCUUUCCUCCAAAUUUCCUGAUAACCCCCUGCUGAAAUAGACAAACACCAAAACUCGUGGAAUUCUGUCAGAUAAAACCCUAAGUCUAGGUGUUGGUUGCAUUUGGAUCCUUUUCUUUAUUUAUUUGAUGAUUAUAUUUGGUACUUAAGUACCGUCAACAACUCCCCCAAGCUUACCUCUUGCUCGUCCCUGAGCAAGGAUGAACUUAAGAGUUUUUGCAGUGGUUUCAUGCCUUAAAAGUAAGAUCUCAUCUCUGAGUUAGAGUAAACUGUUAAGACUUAAACUUACUUAUUUUACCUUUCACCAUGGUGCUUGUAACCGUCACUUGUGUCUUGAGCAGUUAAAAGAUAGAACGGUCAAGUCAAGCGCCAUGUCUCUUAUUCUUGAUCAGCUAUAGCUCUGGAGUUUUUGUAGAUUUUCAAAUAAAACUCAGAGAUUCCUUGAAUAACUCUCUUAGAUCUCUUGUUUGUGGUAUUUCUGGAUCCUUACCAAGGCAGUAAUGGUAUAUGCCUUCUCUCAAAGUAUGUGGUAUUUGUGGUAUGAGGCAUAGUGAUAUUGCCUUCUCUCUCACCCUACUCUAAUAAGGUUUUGAUAUCUGGAGCUCAUAGGUGGGAGACAGCUAAUACAUACUUACAAGACAUUUAUUGCAUAGUCAAACCAUGGAUCCAGAGAAACAAGUCAAUAAGUCAAAUCAAGAUGUGCAUGUGUGGUGAGUGAAUGGUGUAUGGUGAUGAUGGUGAUAAUAAUGGUGAAAAUCUAAUUCUACUUUUUGCUCUUUUGAGGGGAUACAUACCUUUCUUGCACUUUGAAGCUUUUUGAGGAGAAUGAGAUGCUCUAUAUUUUCUUUUUCUUUCCUCUCAGGUGGGUAUCUUGUACCCCUAAUUCUACUGUCGGACACUUGUCCAUUUUUACCUCUCGUCUCACUUUUUCUUUUCUUCGAGGUUCUGGGCACUUGCCCCUUUUUAUUUCCUCGUAUUUUUUUCUUUUUCUCUCUUUUUUUCUAGAGCACUCAUCUCUUGAAAUAAUAUAGCAAGUGGUAGUAACCAAGAUAACUUGAGCAUUUAUUUCAUAGGGAAAAACAGAAAUGUUUUUGGCUAUUCUCUCUCGGAUUAGGAGUAGAAUACUUUUAGGUGAAUCUGGAGAUGGAAUUGAGUGGAUGUAUGUGGAUACGUACUUCCGGAGUAGAAGCAGCAUGUGUGAGUGAACGUGCAAGUGAAUCUUGAUUUUAACCGCAUGACAAGAUCCUAAGGGUCUACACAGCUUGACCACACUCAAUGCUCAUAAGCAGUAAAAGUAAAUAUGUGGCUCAAAGUCUAAUAAGCAUGUAUAUAUGGCUGUGGUAGGAUUUUAAACUCUCAUCAUACAGGAACUCAUCAUGUGUUAUUUUAAAGAUUUUUCAAAGAUAAAAUUCUCCAGAAUUCUAGCAUCUCUAGGAAUAGAUAAACAGUAGCUCAACUUUCCCAUAUCAUAUCCGUUAAUGACUUAGACUUUAGAUCAAGUACUCUUCCCACAAAGUUCAGGUUUAGAGCAGGUUUAAAUUAUAACAGUUGUGCCUAAACUUGAGAGAGAGAUUUCAAUUUUAAGAACUAGUCAUGGCAGAGCAACUAUUCAUCAUUUCCAUGAGAGCUUAUCAUAAGGGUUCAUAGAAAACUUUAUUUUUUUAAAAAACUAAGCAAAGAUAUAUAUAAAAGCACAAAAUCUUUAUUUGGGUUUUUUUUAUGAUUAUGCAUCUUUUUAUUAUUUUAGUAAAGUAUAAACGCGAGUAGAAACACUUAGCUGUAUA
Molecule: long non-coding RNA, 19655 nt
Filed under: Sorghum bicolor (sorghum)
Lineage: Eukaryota; Viridiplantae; Streptophyta; Magnoliopsida; Poales; Poaceae
Description: long non-coding RNA (SBIC_LNC001024)
Rfam family: Plant small nucleolar RNA R71 (bases 4103-4209)
Source: RNAcentral